This 575-nucleotide long non-coding RNA is filed under the name Lathyrus oleraceus (garden pea). Its description in RNAcentral is "Pisum sativum (pea) long non-coding RNA (PSAT_LNC008223)". Lineage: Eukaryota; Viridiplantae; Streptophyta; Magnoliopsida; Fabales; Fabaceae. The record is from RNAcentral.
UCCUAAUGAAUUUUCAAUCGCACUUCCUCAUCUAGGUACCGCUUCACCUGUCAGCUUACAUCACACUCUCACCAAGUCUCUCGGGGUUAAAGUGUUUUCACUCCUAAUUCAUAAUAUGCAAUAUCAACUCAUAAGUUUGAAUAGUUUCUCCUUUCAUAUCAUUCACCUGUCAGCUUACAUCACACUCUCACCAAGUCUCUCGGGGUUAAAGUGUUUUCACUCCUAAUUCAUAAUAUGCAAUAUCAACUCAUAAGUUUGAAUAGUUUCUCCUUUCAUAUCAACUACACACAACACACAGUUUUUGAGGUCUUUCGGGUUGUAACGGGGUUUGGGUUAUGGUGUGGAUAUUCCAAAUAAAACGGAAAACAAAUGGUUUUUGGUUCAGAGUCAAUGUUACUAUUAUUUUUACUGUGUUUGUUCAUUUUCCUUCUUUUCCUCUAUUAUUUUUUUAUUGCUCUGGUUUUUCUUUGUUAUUCUUGUUUUUCAACCGAGUGCCCUUCUUUGGCCAUUGCUUAUUUUGAACCCUCGAGUUUAUUUUCUUUUCUCUUUUUUUUCCCGAUGAUUCUCUCUUUUUU